AUACGGAGGAUCCGAGCGUUAUCCGGAUUUAUUGGGUUUAAAGGGUGCGCAGGCGGCCAUUUAAGUCAGCGGUUAAAUCGUGGGGCUCAACCCCAUUCUGCCGUUGAUACUGGGUGGCUUGAUUGCGGUCGAGGUUGGCGGAAUUCGUUGUGUAGCGGUGAAAUGCAUAGAUAUGACGAAUAACACCGAUUGCGUAGGCAGCUGACCAGACCGCAAAUGACGCUCAUGCACGAAAGUGCGGGGAUCGAACAGGAUUAGAUACCCUGGUAGUCCGCACAGUAAACGAUGAAUACUUGUUUUCGGCGAUAUAAUGUCGGAGGCAAAGCGAAAGCGAUAAGUAUUCCACCUGGGGAGUACGCCGGCAACGGUGAAACUCAAAUGAAUUGACGGGG
This 392-nucleotide ribosomal RNA is filed under the name uncultured bacterium. RNAcentral's name for it is "partial 16S ribosomal RNA". It matches the Rfam family "Bacterial small subunit ribosomal RNA", at positions 523 to 918 of the family's 1533-position model. The record is from RNAcentral.